This 502-nucleotide ribosomal RNA is filed under the name uncultured bacterium. RNAcentral's name for it is "partial 16S ribosomal RNA". It matches the Rfam family "Bacterial small subunit ribosomal RNA", at positions 28 to 523 of the family's 1533-position model. The record is from RNAcentral.
GAUGAACGCUAGCGGCAGGCCUAACACAUGCAAGUCGAGGGGCAGCACAGAAACAGCAAUGUUUUGGUGGCGACCGGCGGACGGGUGCGUAACGCGUAUGCAACCUACCUUUAACAGGGGGAUAACGGAGAGAAAUUUCCACUAAUACCCCAUAACAUCGAUCAAGGCAUCUUGAUUGGUUGAAAACUCCGGUGGUUAAAGAUGGGCAUGCGUUGUAUUAGGUAGUUGGUGAGGUAAUGGCUCACCAAGCCUACGAUACAUAGGGGGACUGAGAGGUAAGCCCCCCAAACUGGUACUGGGACACGGACCAGACUCCUACGGGAGGCGGCAGUGAGGAAUAUUGGUCAAUGGGGGCAACCCUGAACCAGCCAUGCCGCGUGCAGGAAGACGGCUCUAUGAGUUGUAAACUGCUUUUAAACAGGGAUAAAGAACAGUAUGUAUACUGUGUUGAAGGUACUGUAAGAAUAAGGAUCGGCUAACUCCGUGCCAGCAGCCGCCGUAA